GGGUCAGUAGGUUGGUCGUGCCUCCGGUAUGUACUGGUCUCGGUGGUUCCUCCUUCUUGUAGAACCGUAAUGCCAUUAAUUUGGUGUUGCGGGAAAACAGGACUGUUACUUUGAAAAAAUUAGGGUGUUUAAAGCAGGCGAUCGCUUGAAUACAUUAGCAUGGAAUAAUGAAAUAGGACGUUCGAUCCUAUUUUGUUGGUUUCUAGGAUUGACGUA
Molecule: ribosomal RNA, 216 nt
Filed under: uncultured fungus
Lineage: Eukaryota; Fungi
Description: partial small subunit ribosomal RNA
Rfam family: Eukaryotic small subunit ribosomal RNA (bases 47-216)
Source: RNAcentral